GGAUCUCGAAAGCCUGUCCCAGUUCGGACUGGAGUCUGCAACCCGACUCCACGAAGUUGGAUUCGCUAGUAAUCGCGCGUCAGCCAUGGCGCGGUGAAUACGUUCCCGGGCCUUGUACACACCGCCCGUCAAGCCAUGGGAGCCGGGGGCGCCUGAAGUCCGGGACCGCGAGGACCGGCCUAGGGCGAAACUGGUAACUGGGGCUAAGUCGUAACAAGGUAUC
Molecule: ribosomal RNA, 223 nt
Filed under: uncultured bacterium
Lineage: Bacteria
Description: partial 16S ribosomal RNA
Rfam family: Bacterial small subunit ribosomal RNA
Source: RNAcentral